Molecule: long non-coding RNA, 593 nt
Filed under: Olea europaea subsp. europaea
Lineage: Eukaryota; Viridiplantae; Streptophyta; Magnoliopsida; Lamiales; Oleaceae
Source: RNAcentral
AUUUUUUUUCUUUUUUGAUUUUUUGAAUUUUCUUUUAUAAAUUUACAUUUUUUUUUACAAGAGCUCGUGGGCUUGUCAAAAAUGGCUCAUGGGCACACGGCCCACAAGCCACUCCUGGGCUCGAUGAGCCAAGCAGGCUCGAUUCGUGGGAUUGAGCCCCCUGCUCGGCUCAUGCUCAUGCUCAUCAUUUGACGAGUCCGAGUUUUAACGAGCCGAGUCGAUGAGCUGCUCAGUCCAUUUGACAUCCCUAUCAAGGAAUUUUGUUUAUUCAUGAUCGCCAUCAACUUGAACAUGCUGGCUUCGUUUGUUCAAAAUCUGAAUCUUGUAUGAUGGUUAGCUGAUCAUUUGCAAACGGGGGAUACCAUAUUCAGUUUUAAUCGUCCAAUAGGUGGCCUCACUGUCCAUGAAAGACUAUAUAAAUCGAUCUCACAUAUCAUCCCGAGUAGCAGUUGUUUGUAGAAUACAAUUAUGUAAUCGACUCCCCGAUACACUUCACACGUUUUUUCCAUGCUCAACUGAUUUUAGAUGUAAAAGUUUCACCAGAUAAUAGCAAUUUGUAUUGGUAAAUAGUUGUAUAAGUUGUGUUGAGUACA